GGCAGCAGUAGGGAAUCUUCGGCAAUGGACGAAAGUCUGACCGAGCAGCGCCGCGUGAGUGAAGAAGGUUUUCGGAUCGUAAAGCUCUGUUGUAAGUCAAGAACGUAUGUGAGAGUGGACAGUUCACACAGUGACGGUAGCUUACCAGAAAGGGACGGCUAACUACGUGCCAGCAGC
Molecule: ribosomal RNA, 177 nt
Filed under: Streptococcus mutans
Lineage: Bacteria; Bacillati; Bacillota; Bacilli; Lactobacillales; Streptococcaceae
Description: partial 16S ribosomal RNA
Rfam family: Bacterial small subunit ribosomal RNA
Source: RNAcentral